RNAcentral lists this ribosomal RNA (273 nucleotides) under uncultured bacterium. RNAcentral describes it as "partial 16S ribosomal RNA". It matches the Rfam family "Bacterial small subunit ribosomal RNA", at positions 505 to 776 of the family's 1533-position model. The record is from RNAcentral.
GUGCCAGCCGCCCGCGGUAAUACGGGGGGGGCAAGCGUUGUCCGGAAUUAUUGGGCGUAAAGGGCGCGUAGGUGGGACAGCAAGUCUGGGGUGCAAUCUUACGGCUUAACUGUAAGCUUGCCCUGGAUACUACUGUUCUUGAGUUCGGAAGAGGGUAGUGGAAUUCCUGGUGUAGCGGUGAAAUGCGUAGAUAUCAGGAAGAACACCGGUGGCGAAGGCGGCUACCUGGUCCGAUACUGACACUGAGGCGCGAAAGUGCGGGGAGCAAACAGG